Molecule: transfer RNA, 69 nt
Filed under: Neogeoscapheus hanni
Lineage: Eukaryota; Metazoa; Arthropoda; Insecta; Blattodea; Blaberidae
Description: tRNA-Ile
Source: RNAcentral
AGUAAAGUGCCUGAAUUAAAGGAUUAUCGUGAUAGGAUAAAUUAUGUAAUUUCAAGUUUACCUUUACUA